Molecule: non-coding RNA, 453 nt
Organism: Nothobranchius furzeri (turquoise killifish)
Lineage: Eukaryota; Metazoa; Chordata; Actinopteri; Cyprinodontiformes; Nothobranchiidae
Source: RefSeq, a predicted model, not a curated record
UCUGUUGUGUGACGGGGUGAGUACUCCCUCUUCUCCACAACAUCUUUGUAAGACUGUCAUUCCAGGAGAGGGCACUCACCAGCUGUGGGGCAUUACCGAUCAGCGGCAGCUGCAGAUCCUCUAAUCAACCGCAGCAGAGCUCUAUUUAAGAGGAGAGGGAACCACUUCACAUCGCUGGAUGAUUAACUACUCACGGAUACUUGGAAUCGCUGAACCACAGAUGGAUGUACCUACCUGGAAGUCACCAUAACCCGCCUGGAUUACACACUCAAGGUUCACCUCUCCUCCAGCUUCACUUGCCCUCUGCCGCCAUCAUCUGGCUCCCUCUCCUGGACGUACCCCGUCACACCGUUAGCCCUCCCUGCUGGCUUUUGGACUCUUGCCGACUACUUCACACUUGGAUAUCUCCAGGACACUUUUAGUUAGGGUUAAUAAAUCAUUGUUUGAACUUUC